Molecule: ribosomal RNA, 460 nt
Filed under: uncultured bacterium
Lineage: Bacteria
Description: partial 16S ribosomal RNA
Rfam family: Bacterial small subunit ribosomal RNA
Source: RNAcentral
CCUACGGGGGGCAGCAGGGAGGAAUAUUGGUCAAUGGGCGCGAGACUGAACCAGCCAAGUAGCGGGAAGGAUGACUGCCCAACGGGUUGUAAACUUCUUUUAUAAAGGAAUAAAGUGAGGCACGUGUGCCCUUUUGCAUGUACUUUAUGAAUAAGGAUCGGCUAACGCCGUGCCAGCAGCCGCGGUAAUACGGAGGAUCCGAGCGUUAUCCGGAUUUAUUGGGUUUAAAGGGAGCGUAGAUGGGUUGUUAAGUCAGUUGUGAAAGUUUGCGGCUCAACCGUAAAAUUGCAAUUGAUACUGGCAGCCUUGAGUACGGUUGAGGUAGGCGGAAUGCGUGGUGUAGCGGUGAAAUGCUUAGAUAUCACGAAGAACUCCGAUUGCGAAGGCAGCCUACUAGACUGCAACUGACGUUGAUGCUCGAAAGUGUGGGUAUCAAACAGGAUUAGAUACCCCUGUAGUC